RNAcentral lists this ribosomal RNA (1094 nucleotides) under uncultured organism. Its description in RNAcentral is "bacterial SSU rRNA". It matches the Rfam family "Bacterial small subunit ribosomal RNA", at positions 104 to 1203 of the family's 1533-position model. The record is from RNAcentral.
GGGAGAGUAACACGUGGAUAUCUACCCUCGGAUCUGGGAUAGCGGUGGGAAACUGCCGGUAAUACCAGAUAACGUCUCCGGACCAAAGGUGUGAUUCCGUCCGAGGAUGAGUUCGCGUCCUAUUAGCUUGUUGGUGGGGUAACGGCCUACCAAGGCGGUGAUGGGUACCGGGUGUGAGAGCAUGACCCGGCUCACUGGGACUGAGACACUGCCCAGACACCUACGGGUGGCUGCAGUCGAGAAUCUUCGGCAAUGGGCGCAAGCCUGACCGAGCGACGCCGCGUGCGGGAUGAAGGCCUUCGGGUUGUAAACCGCUGUCAGAGGGAAGGAAAUGCGUGAGGGUUCUCUCUCAUGUUUGACCGAUCCUCAGAGGAAGUACGGGCUAAGCUCGUGCCAGCAGCCGCGGUAACACGAACCGUACGAACGUUAUUCGGAAUCACUGGGCUUAAAGGGUGCGUAGGCGGCCUGGUAAGUUGAGUGUGAAAUCCCCCGGCUCAACCGAGGAAUUGCGCUCAAAACUAUCCGGCUUGAGGAAGGCAGAGGUAAGCGGAACUAAUGGUGGAGCGGUGGAAUGCGUUGAUAUCAUUAGGAACACCUGAGGCGAAAGCGGCUUACUGGGCCUUUCCUGACGCUGAGGCACGAAAGUUAGGGGAGCCAACGGGAUUAGAUACCCCGGUAGUCCUAUCUGUAAACGAUGAGCACUGGAUUGAGGGGACCUCCACAUCCUCUCGGUCGUAGCGAAAGUGUUAAGUGCUCCGCCUGGGGAGUAUGGUUGCAAGGCUGAAACUCAAAGGAAUUGACGGGGGCUCACACAAGCGGUGGAGGAUGUGGCUUAAUUCGAGGCUACGCGAAGAACCUUAUCCUGGUCUUGACAUGCUUGAGAAUCCUCUUGAAAGAGAGGAGUGCCCUUCGGGGAGCUCUUGCACAGGUGCUGCAUGGCUGUCGUCAGUUCGUGUCGUGAGAUGUCGGGUUAAGUCCCGAACGAGCGAAACCGAUUAUCUUAGCUACCAGCGGGUCAUGCCGGGCGACUCUAGGGAGACAGCCGGUGUUAAACCGGAGGAAGGUGGGGAUGACGUCAAGUCCUCAUGGCCUUU